GAUGAACGCUGGCGGCGUGCUUAACACAUGCAAGUCGAACGGAAAGGCUCCUGCUUGCAGGGGUACUCGAGUGGCGAACGGGUGAGUAACACGUGGGUGAUCUGCCCUGCACUUCGGGAUAAGCCCGGGAAACUGGGUCUAAUACCGGAUAGGACCACAUUUUGGAUGGUGUGGUGGAAAGUUUUUCGGUGUGGGAUGAGCUCGCGGCCUAUCAGCUUGUUGGUGGGGUAAUGGCCUACCAAGGCGUCGACGGGUAGCCGGCCUGAGAGGGUGUACGGCCACAUUGGGACUGAGAUACGGCCCAGACUCCUACGGGAGGCAGCAGUGGGGAAUAUUGCACAAUGGGCGCAAGCCUGAUGCAGCGACGCCGCGUGGGGGAUGACGGCCUUCGGGUUGUAAACUCCUUUCGCUAGGGACGAAGCGCAAGUGACGGUACCUGGAGAAGAAGCACCGGCUAACUACGUG
This 465-nucleotide ribosomal RNA is filed under the name uncultured bacterium. RNAcentral's name for it is "partial 16S ribosomal RNA". It matches the Rfam family "Bacterial small subunit ribosomal RNA", at positions 28 to 507 of the family's 1533-position model. The record is from RNAcentral.